GACGAACCGUACGAACGUUAUUCGGAAUUACUGGGCUUAAAGGGUGCGUAGGCGGCGCAGUAAGUUGGGUGUGAAAUCCCUCGGCUUAACCGAGGAAUUGCGCCCAAAACUACUGUGCUCGAGGGAGGUAGAAGUGAGCGGAACUUAGGGUGGAGCGGUGAAAUGCGUUGAUAUCCUAAGGAACACCGGUGGCGAAAGCGGCUCACUGGACCUCUUCUGACGCUGAGGCACGAAAGCUAGGGUAGCAAACGGG
RNAcentral lists this ribosomal RNA (253 nucleotides) under uncultured bacterium. Its description in RNAcentral is "partial 16S ribosomal RNA". It matches the Rfam family "Bacterial small subunit ribosomal RNA", at positions 524 to 776 of the family's 1533-position model. The record is from RNAcentral.